GAUGAACGCUGGCGGCAUGCUUAACACAUGCACGUCGGACGGGAAGUGGUGUUUCCAGUGGCGGGCGGGUGAGUAACGCGUAAGAACCUGCCCUUGGGAGGGGAACAACAGCUGGAACCGGCUGCUAAUACCCCGUAGGCUGAGGAGCAGAAGGCGGAAUCCGCCCGAGGAGGGGCUCGCGUCUGAUUAGCUAGUUGGUGAGGCAAUAGCUUCCCAAGGCGAUGAUCAGUAGCUGGUCCGAGAGGAUGAUCAGCCACGCUGGGACUGAGACACGGCCCAGACUCCUCCGGGGGGCAUCAGUGGUGGUUUUUCCGGAGUGGGCGAGAGCCUGACGGAGCAAUGCCGCGGGGAGGUAGAAGGCCUACGGGUCGUGAACUUCUUUUCCCGGAGAAGAAGCAAUGACGGUAGCUGGGGAAUAAGCAUCGGCUAACUCUGCG
RNAcentral lists this ribosomal RNA (437 nucleotides) under uncultured bacterium. RNAcentral's name for it is "partial 16S ribosomal RNA". It matches the Rfam family "Bacterial small subunit ribosomal RNA", at positions 28 to 507 of the family's 1533-position model. The record is from RNAcentral.